AUGGCGUCCAUCCGGCGAGAUCUGCUCGUGGCGCUGUGUGUGGUGGCGCUCCUGGCCGUCGGGUCGGAGUCCCACGGGCUGAAGGACUUUGGCAGCGAGGGGAAGACGGAGGCGACGCCCGAGAUGGCCUCCUUCUUCGGCGCCAAGCCCGAGGCCGCCGUGCUCCCGGAGGCGCUGGACAACAACAAGGCCGCCAAGCCGGAGGCGGCCUCGGCGAUGCCCACCACCACCAACACCAACCCACGUUCGUCCCCGCCGCGCAGAUCCGUGGCCGUCGCGGCCGGCGUGGCCUGCGGCAUCGCGGCCCUGGCGGUGGUCGGCGUGGCGGUCGCCGUCGCCUUCGUGGUGCGCGCCAGGCGCGGCGAGAGGCGCGAAGCCGAGGUCCAUCUCGGCUAA
This 396-nucleotide ribosomal RNA is filed under the name Triticum aestivum (bread wheat). RNAcentral describes it as "partial small subunit ribosomal RNA". Lineage: Eukaryota; Viridiplantae; Streptophyta; Magnoliopsida; Poales; Poaceae. The record is from RNAcentral.